ACCAAAAAAAAGAUGAUUCUUUGCUCUCAAAGUUCAGCCGCCGGGAAAAAAGAGAGAGGUUUGUGUGCUGCCUCCUUCUAUGGUGGAGAUAACUGAAGAAGAAGAGCAGUUUCGUUUUCACUUUCAGAAUCUUCCCAGAUAUGUUCUUGCUUUUUUUUCUUCUUUUGAAAUUAUCCAGAUUUGGGUUCUUAAUUCGAUUCGAUUAUAUGAAGAUACUGGUACCCAACCCUUCACCACUUUUCUCUUCUCUUUUGGCAUUAGAAAAAGCCAUUUAUUAACGGCAGUAUUAAAUUCAAGGUUCAACUUGAACAUGAGUAGUGUUUCAAAGAGAAAAGACAAAUCUGGUGAAUAUAGCCAAGCUAUGGGGAAAUGGGAAAAAGGCAUGUUAUGACUGAGACGAUUGAGAAUCAUAUCCCAGGAGGUGAAGAAGGACGCAGCAGUACGGCUCUUGUCACUGUACGAUGAGAUAAGGCCAGCCAUUAAAGAGCAUGAAAGAGAUAGCCAAGACUGGCAACAAGUGUGGCGGAGAAAUGGAUACAAGCAAGCUGUAAUAAACAUAGAGUUUGAUCUAUAAUCUAGUGUAAUUAAGAAUACAUUCUUUAUUUAAUUAAAAAAGUGGGGAAAGUAAUAUAUUUUGAA
Capsella rubella is the source of this 639-nucleotide long non-coding RNA. RefSeq lists it as uncharacterized. The transcript is spliced from 3 exons. The record is from RefSeq and is a predicted model, not a curated record. NCBI's taxonomy places the organism in Eukaryota, Viridiplantae, Streptophyta, Magnoliopsida, Brassicales, Brassicaceae.